AGGGAUUCCAAGUAUUCUUCUGUUUGAUUUUUUUAAAAAAAGGAAAGAGAGAAGAAAAGAAAAGAAGAAAAAGCAUGGAUACGAAAAAGGAAGGGGAGUUUUCUGAAGCAGAGAAGCAGACCAGCAACAUCCUUGAUUCCUCUUUCUGAGUAUCCUCCGCACUAGGAAUCUUCGUGGAGCCGCUGGAUGUGG
Molecule: long non-coding RNA, 192 nt
Organism: Gracilinanus agilis (Agile Gracile Mouse Opossum)
Lineage: Eukaryota; Metazoa; Chordata; Mammalia; Didelphimorphia; Didelphidae
Exons: 3
Source: RefSeq, a predicted model, not a curated record